This 220-nucleotide ribosomal RNA is filed under the name uncultured bacterium. Its description in RNAcentral is "partial 16S ribosomal RNA". It matches the Rfam family "Bacterial small subunit ribosomal RNA", at positions 57 to 305 of the family's 1533-position model. The record is from RNAcentral.
GCAAGUCGAGCGAUCACUUCGGUGGGAGCGGCGAACGGGUUAGUAACGCGUGGGAACAUACUCUUCUCUACGGAAUAGCCAUUGGAAACGAUGAGUAAUACCGUAUACGCCCUUCGGGGGAAAGCUUUAUCGGAGAUGGAUUGGCCCGCGUUAGAUUAGCUAGUUGGUGGGGUAAUGGCCUACCAAGUCUACGAUCUAUAGCUGGUUUGAGAGGAUGAUC